Molecule: ribosomal RNA, 491 nt
Filed under: uncultured bacterium
Lineage: Bacteria
Description: partial 16S ribosomal RNA
Rfam family: Bacterial small subunit ribosomal RNA
Source: RNAcentral
GAUGAACGCUGUCUACAGGCUUAACACAUGCAAGUCGAGGGGAAACGACGGGGAAGCUUGCUUCCCCGGGCGUCGACCGGCGCACGGGUGAGUAACGCGUAUCCAACCUGCCUCUGACUGAGGGAUAACCCGUCGAAAGUCGGCCUAAUACCUCAUGGCAUCGUCUGCGGGCAUCCAACGACGAUUAAAGAUUUCAUCGGUCAGGGAUGGGGAUGCGUCUGAUUAGCUUGUUGGCGGGGUAACGGCCCACCAAGGCUACGAUCAGUAGGGGUUCUGAGAGGAAGGUCCCCCACAUUGGAACUGAGACACGGUCCAAACUCCUACGGGAGGCAGCAGUGAGGAAUAUUGGUCAAGGGGCGGGAGCCUGAACCAGCCAAGUAGCGUGCAGGAGGACGGCCCUAUGGGUUGUAAACUGCUUGUAGGCGGGGAUAAAGUGAGGGACGUGUCCUUCAUUGCAGGUACCGCAUGAAUAAGGACCGGCUAAUUCCGUG